CAGCAGCCGCGGUAAUACGAAGGGUGCAAGCGUUACUCGGAAUUACUGGGCGUAAAGAGCUCGUAGGCGGUCUGUCGCGUCUGGUGUGAAAUCCCGAGGCUCAACCUCGGGCUUGCAUCGGGUACGGGCAGACUAGAGUGCGGUAGGGGAGACUGGAAUUCCUGGUGUAGCGGUGAAAUGCGUAGAGAUCUGGAGGAAUACCGAUGGCGAAGGCAGCCAUCUGGCCUAACACUGACGCUGAGGUACGAAAGCAUGGGGAGCAAACAGGAUUAGAUACCCCAGUAGUCCCUGUCUCUUAUAC
Molecule: ribosomal RNA, 301 nt
Filed under: uncultured bacterium
Lineage: Bacteria
Description: partial 16S ribosomal RNA
Rfam family: Bacterial small subunit ribosomal RNA
Source: RNAcentral